RNAcentral lists this ribosomal RNA (301 nucleotides) under uncultured bacterium. Its description in RNAcentral is "partial 16S ribosomal RNA". It matches the Rfam family "Bacterial small subunit ribosomal RNA", at positions 509 to 807 of the family's 1533-position model. The record is from RNAcentral.
CAGUCGCCGCGGGAAUACGAAGGGGGCUAGCGUUGUUCGGAUUUACUGGGCGUAAAGCGCACGUAGGCGGAUCCUUAAGUCAGAGGUGAAAUCCCAAGGCUCAACCUUGGAACUGCCUUUGAUACUGGGGAUCUCGAGUUCGGGAGAGGUGAGUGGAACUGCGAGUGUAGAGGUGAAAUUCGUAGAUAUUCGCAAGAACACCAGUGGCGAAGGCGGCUCACUGGCCCGAUACUGACGCUGAGGUGCGAAAGCGUGGGGAGCAAACAGGAUUAGAUACCCCUGUAGUCCCUGUCUCUUAUAC